Non-coding RNA from Lupinus angustifolius (narrow-leaved blue lupine), 172 nucleotides. Lineage: Eukaryota; Viridiplantae; Streptophyta; Magnoliopsida; Fabales; Fabaceae. The record is from Rfam.
CAUAUCUUCCAAAUACUGAGUCAGCUUUGUAAUUUUUCUCACGUCUCCCUUGGACAAGUAUCAUGAGUACACCCAAAAUAAGAAGCCUUGAAUACUAGAAGAAUAACACUAUAAAUAACAAGAUUAAUGGGAAUAUUCAAACUUGUAGUCAUUUCAAUUUGCCAUAUACCCA